This 83-nucleotide transfer RNA is filed under the name Nitzschia sp. PL3-2. RNAcentral's name for it is "tRNA-Tyr". It matches the Rfam family "tRNA". Rfam says of the family: Transfer RNA (tRNA) molecules are approximately 80 nucleotides in length. Their secondary structure includes four short double-helical elements and three loops (D, anti-codon, and T loops). The record is from RNAcentral. RNAcentral also lists the same sequence under 1 other name. Lineage: Eukaryota; Bacillariophyta; Bacillariophyceae; Bacillariales; Bacillariaceae.
AAGUUGAUGUCCGAGUGGUUAAAGGAAGCGGAUUGUAAAUCCGUUGUGAUUUCACUACGUUGGUUCGAAUCCAACUCAACUUA